GCAAAACUGUAACAUCCAAUGUCAAAUGUCUAGAAUAUUGACCAAGAUAUACAUAUUUGAGAUUCAGAUACAUUAAAAUUUAUAGAAUAGCUUGUUCAAAAGAACAAGUACCUAAAUUCUAUAUCAGGUACAAGGAAAUGAAAGUUCCAUUACACAAUGGUAAAUAAUCAUCAGACAUAUCUAUCAGACUAAUCUAACAAAACAAGGAAUAAACUAAUGUAAUAAAAUCUUCCAUCUUCAAUCCUUAGUUUCUUCUUACCCCUGACUCGUUUAAUCUGCUUAUCUGAAAAAAAUAAAAAGGAGUGGGAUGAGACAUAAAGCCUCGGUGAGUCCCACCUAUCUUAGGGUGAUACUAAUAUCCUUUGUCCUGACAGUUGAUUAAUUACAUAAACAUAUACAUAUUCAUUUCACGAUUAUUUUCAGUAUAAUGCAAAUAAAGUGUGACACAAAAUUAUUUGUCUGAGUUGAUUUUACGGAAUAAUUCGAGGUGAGUAGUCUCGAACCAUUCCCUUACAUACCCGGCUAAAUUCCCUAUCAUUUCGGGGCUAAAGCGUACGGUCAUACCUCAUCUUAUCGUUGUGUGAAAUUCUAUAUAGAAUUUCAAUCCAGCUCCAACUCCUACAUAAGGAAGCCUUUCUGGUGCCUUAUAGACCACAACUUAACAUAUUAUUCAUCAUAGACAUUUAGCAUUAUAAAUCUAACACUUGUGGCCCAAAGUCCACUAUAUUUCAAGAUCAACUGUCAAUAUUCUUACCUGUCCUGAAUUAACUUAUAAUGCAUCUAGUCCAUAGUUUUCUGUUUGUUUUCCCUACCCAACCUAUGCAAUUUAUUAAGCUAACUACUAUAUUUUUCAUUCCCAUAUGAUCUUAUUCCAUUAGGGACAUUACGGUGUCCCAAAAGCGUCCGAAAAUGCAAAACAGUGCAAACGGGGCUGCUGGAUGUAGCUCCAGGCACAGGAACAGUCUGGGAAACACUGUUAUUUGCGCUUCCAGCGCAGUGGUCCGCGCNNNNNNNNNNNNNNNAGAGGGCAGAAUGCCCAGGUGGCCAGUUUCCUGCAAAAAAAUUCAGUUUGUACCAUUAUCCUCACACAGUCCUAGCCUUACUCUAGAUGCAUUUUAGUGACAAUUUAGGCCAACAGUUAGUAGCACAACAAGGGCAAGGUAAGUCACCAAGAUUCAUAAAUAACAUGCAUUAAAUCUAUACAAUUUGAGAGAACUAAUCUAAAGGGGCAAUCUCAUCAAAGUGCAAUUUCUCAUGAAAUAGUUUCUAGUUCUAACUACCCGAAAACCCAAUUCUCCAUGAGAAUAGUGGGGAGACUAUAUUGGUAAGGAUUUCUAUCUGUGGAACUCACCUCUGUAAUUGUAGCUCUCUCAACACUUGAUUAUUACAACCACAACAUAGUCUACAUCAAAAGCUUGUUCUCCAAUCUAGUCUAGUGCUCCAAUUGAAUCUGUCUUAUAAUUCUUUUCAAUCCAAACUUCCAACCUCAUGUGUCAAGGGAACUUCUGGAACUAAAAAGGAAAACGAAACUUCAAGCUUCAGGUACCNNNNNNNNNNNNNNNNNNNNNNNNNNNNNNNNNNNNNNNNNNNNNNNNNNNNNNNNNNNNNNNNNNNNNNNNCGAGUGACUAAACUGAAGGAAAUUUCGUCUAGAUUCUGAAAAUUCAGCAAUCGUUCAAAUCUGGAUUACAGAGUGAAAGUUAUGACAGAAAUACUAGUCAUAGGUCCAUCCGAAUUUUACCUAGAUUACCUCCAAUACUUGAAAUGCUCCAACCCAUAGUAAAACUCAUGAAUACAAGCCUCAAGAGUGAAAAAGGAUUCUGAAUUUGGGAAAAAUAAGGCAUCAAAUACAAAGAGAAUUUUGGGGUUCAAUGGUGAAAGAACAAGAGGAAAACAAGAAUCAAAUUUUAUUCAUACCUUAACUUUCCUUUUGGUAUGAAAUGAGAGUUUGAAGCCUUAAUUCGUACAUGCAUGAACUAAUAAUGGAGGAAUUGGGAAAAUUUCGGAAUUGGGGUUUAGGUUUGUGGAGAUUCUUUGCCAAAUAGAGAAAAGAUGAAUGAAACUAAAAUUGAGACUUGAUUCUUGGUUAUGGAGGUGGAUGUUAGAAAAGCAUACUCAUGGAAAGCUUCAAUGUAGAAGAAAGAUGGGAAUGGUGGAAUUUGAGAUAGUGUUAAGAAGUCUCACAUCGGUUCAGAGAUGGCCUGACUAAGUGUUUAUAAACUAGAGACAAUCCUCACCUUAUAAGUCGGUUUUGUAAGGAUGAGUUAGACUCAAUACUCAUUUCUAAGAUGGUAUCGGAGCCUCUCCAAGAUCCAUUGGGCCACCCGAUAUCGGGUCACCUACCAUUUAUAUCCGCGUACCAAGCCCAAUAGCACUAGACGCGAGGGGGUGUGUUAAGAAGUCUCACAUCGGUUGAGAGAUGGCCUGACUAAGUGUUUAUAAACUAGAGGCAAUACUCACCUUACAAGCCGGUUUUGUAAGGAUGAGUUAAGCCCAAUACUCAUUUCUAAGAGGUAGUGUCGUUGUUGUUGUUCGUAAGUGAGAGGGAGAGGAGUGGGUGACCUUGCUGAAGUUGAUUUAAGGGAACAAGAAAGAUGGAAUUGAGUUUAGUAUUUCACACAUGCAUGCUUGGUUGAGAGCUAAUUGAAGGGAUUUUCUUGAACUCAAGACUAUGGUGAAGGUGAAGAUGAAGAGUUUUGCGUGAUGAAGAGUUUUGCGUGAGAGAGAUGUAAAUAAGUCUGGUUACUGCUUUUGGAUGUUUAGGAAGUGAAGAGUUAAAGGAAUGCUCGGUUCAUUCUUGUUUUGUCAUAGUGGAUUGUGGGUCCCACUUGGCACUUGUUUCUCUUCUAUUGGCUAGAGUUAACUCAUCCUUGUGUUUGUUUCUCAAUUCCAGCUUAAAUCCUUAUUUCACACCUCUAAUGAAUAAUUUUCCC
RNAcentral lists this long non-coding RNA (2931 nucleotides) under Trifolium pratense (red clover). RNAcentral describes it as "long non-coding RNA (TPRA_LNC003435)". Lineage: Eukaryota; Viridiplantae; Streptophyta; Magnoliopsida; Fabales; Fabaceae. The record is from RNAcentral.